ACUCCUACGGGAGGCAGCAGUGGGGAAUAUUGCACAAUGGGCGCAAGCCUGAUGCAGCCAUGCCGCGUGUGUGAAGAAGGCCUUCGGGUUGUAAAGCACUUUCAGUUGUGAGGAAAGGUUAGUCGCUAAUAUCGGCUAGCUGUGACGUUAGCAACAGAAGAAGCACCGGCUAACUCCGUGCCAGCAGCCGCGGUAAUACGGAGGGUGCGAGCGUUAUCCGGAUUCAUUGGGUUUAAAGGGUGCGUAGGCGGAACGGUAAGUCAGUGGUGAAAUCCUGCAGCUUAACUGUAGAACUGCCAUUGAUACUGUCGUUCUUGAGUGCGCUUGACGUGGGCGGAAUGUGCCGUGUAGCGGUGAAAUGCUUAGAUAUGGCACAGAACACCAAUUGCGAAGGCAGCUCACGAAAGCGAAACUGACGCUGAGGCACGAAAGCGUGGGGAUCGAACAGGAUUAGAUACCCUGGUAGGCUCUG
This 472-nucleotide ribosomal RNA is filed under the name uncultured bacterium. RNAcentral describes it as "bacterial SSU rRNA". It matches the Rfam family "Bacterial small subunit ribosomal RNA", at positions 335 to 799 of the family's 1533-position model. The record is from RNAcentral.